This 406-nucleotide ribosomal RNA is filed under the name uncultured bacterium. Its description in RNAcentral is "partial 16S ribosomal RNA". It matches the Rfam family "Bacterial small subunit ribosomal RNA", at positions 30 to 526 of the family's 1533-position model. The record is from RNAcentral.
AUUGAACGCUGGCGGCAGGCCUAACACAUGCAAGUCGAACGAGUGGCGGACGGGUGAGUAAUGUCUGGGAAACUGACCGAUGGAGGGGGAUAACUACUGGAAACGGUAGCUAAUACCGCAUACCAUCGGAUGUGCCCAGAUGGGAUUAGCUAGUAGGUGGGGUAAAGGCUCACCUAGGCGACGAUCCCUAGCUGGUCUGAGAGGAUGACCAACCCUACUGGAACUUAGACACGGUCCAGACUCCGACUCGACGCAUCGUUGUAUAAUAUUGCACAAUGGGCGCAAGCCUGAUCCAGCCAUGCCGCGUGUAUGAAGAAGUCCUUCGGGUUUUAAAGUACUUUCAGCGGUGAGGCGUUACCCGCAGAAGAAGCACCGGCUAACUCCGUGCCAGCAGCCGCGGUAAUAC